Molecule: ribosomal RNA, 239 nt
Filed under: uncultured bacterium
Lineage: Bacteria
Description: partial 16S ribosomal RNA
Rfam family: Bacterial small subunit ribosomal RNA
Source: RNAcentral
CGUGAGCAACCUGCCUUGGAGUGGGGAAUAACGGUUGGAAACAGCCGCUAAUACCGCAUGAUGCGUCUGGGAGGCAUCUCUCUGGACGCCAAAGAUUUAUCGCUCUGAGAUGAGCUCGCGUCUGAUUAGCUUGUUGGCGGGGUAAAGGCCCACCAAGGCGACGAUCAGUAGCCGGACUGAGAGGUUGGCCGGCCACAUUGGGACUGAGACACGGCCCAGACUCCUACGGAAGGCAGCAG